GAAAUGCGAUAAUUAAUGUGAAUUGCAGAAUUCAGUGAAUCAACGAGUCUUUGAACGCACAUUGCGCCCCCUGGUAUUCCGGGGGGCAUGCCUGUCCGAGCGUCAUUGCUGCCCUCAAGCACGGCUUGUGUGUUGGGCUUCCGUCCCUGGCAACGGGGACGGGCCCAAAAGGCAGUGGCGGCACCAUGUCUGGUCCUCGAGCGUAUGGGGCUUUGUCACCCGCUCCCGUAGGUCCAGCUGGCAGCUAGCCUCGCAACCAAUCUUUUUAACCAGGUUGACCUCGGAUCAGGUAGGGAUACCCGCUGAACUUAAGC
This 314-nucleotide unclassified non-coding RNA is filed under the name plant metagenome. RNAcentral describes it as "partial contains 5.8S ribosomal RNA, internal transcribed spacer 2, and large subunit ribosomal RNA". The stretch from base 1 to 105 matches the Rfam family "5.8S ribosomal RNA", at positions 50 to 154 of the family's 154-position model. The record is from RNAcentral.